Molecule: unclassified non-coding RNA, 254 nt
Filed under: uncultured fungus
Lineage: Eukaryota; Fungi
Description: partial contains 5.8S ribosomal RNA, internal transcribed spacer 2, and large subunit ribosomal RNA
Source: RNAcentral
AACGCACAUUGCGCCCCUUGGUAUUCCAUGGGGCAUGCCUGUUCGAGCGUCAUUUACACCCUCAAGCCCUGCUUGGUGUUGGGCGUCUGUCCCGCCGUUUCGGUGCGGACUCGCCCCAAAGAUAUUGGCAGCAGCCUGUCCCCAGCUUCUCGCGCAGCAGUUCGCGCUUCUUGAGGCAAAAGGGGGGGCCAGCAUCCAUGAAGUCCACUUCUUGACUUGACCUCGGAUCAGGUAGGGAUACCCGCUGAACUUAA